GAAUUUUCCGCAAUGGGCGAAAGCCUGACGCAGCAACGCCGCGUGUGUGAUGAAGGCCCUAGGGUCGUAAAGCACUGUCAGGAGGGAAGAAAUCAAUGACGGUACCUCCAAAGGAAGCACCGGCUAACUCCGUGCCAGCAGCCGCGGUAAUACGGAGGGUGCAAGCGUUGUUCGGAAUCAUUGGGCGUAAAGCGCGCGCAGGUGGUCUGCCAAGUCUGGUGUGAAAGCCCAGGGCUCAACCCUGGAACUGCAUUGGAAACUAGUAGACUUGAGUCCGAGGGGGGCCUGUGGAAUUCCUGGUGUAGGGGUGAAAUCCGUAGAGAUCAGGAGGAACACCGGUGGCGAAGGCGACAGGCUGGACCGGAACUGACACUGAGGCGCGAAAGUGUGGGGAGCAAACAGG
This 403-nucleotide ribosomal RNA is filed under the name uncultured bacterium. RNAcentral describes it as "bacterial SSU rRNA". It matches the Rfam family "Bacterial small subunit ribosomal RNA", at positions 359 to 776 of the family's 1533-position model. The record is from RNAcentral.